Molecule: ribosomal RNA, 469 nt
Filed under: uncultured bacterium
Lineage: Bacteria
Description: bacterial SSU rRNA
Rfam family: Bacterial small subunit ribosomal RNA
Source: RNAcentral
GAUGAACGCUGGCGGCGUGCUUAACACAUGCAAGUCGAACGAAGAUGCCGGAGUGCUUGCACUUUGGCAGACUGAGUGGCGGACGGGUGAGUAACGCGUGGGUAACCUGCCUUAUACAGGGGGAUAACAGUUGGAAACGACUGCUAAUACCGCAUAAGCGCACGGUAUCGCAUGAUACAGUGUGAAAAACUCCGGUGGUAUAAGAUGGACCCGCGUCUGAUUAGCUUGUUGGUGAGGUAACGGCCCACCAAGGCGACGAUCAGUAGCCGGCCUGAGAGGGUGAACGGCCACAUUGGGACUGAGACACGGCCCAAACUCCUACGGGAGGCAGCAGUGGGGAAUAUUGCACAAUGGGGGAAACCCUGAUGCAGCGACGCCGCGUGGAGGAAGAAGGUCUUCGGAUUGUAAACUCCUGUUGUUGAGGAAGAUAAUGACGGUACUCAACAAGGAAGUGACGGCUAACUACGUG